AGUGAACGCUGGCGGUAGGCCUAACACAUGCAAGUCGAACGGCAGCACAGUAAGAGCUUGCUCUUACGGGUGGCGAGUGGCGGACGGGUGAGGAAUACAUCGGAAUCUACUUUUUCGUGGGGGAUAACGUAGGGAAACUUACGCUAAUACCGCAUACGACCUACGGGUGAAAGCAGGGGAUCUUCGGACCUUGCGCGAUUGAAUGAGCCGAUGUCGGAUUAGCUAGUUGGCGGGGUAAAGGCCCACCAAGGCGACGAUCCGUAGCUGGUCUGAGAGGAUGAUCAGCCACACUGGAACUGAGACACGGUCCAGACUCCUACGGGAGGCAGAAGUGGGGAAUAGUGGACAAUGGGCGCAAGCCUGAUCCAGCCAUACCGCGUGGGUGAAGAAGGCCUUCGGGUUGUAGCCCUUUUGUUGGGAAAGAAAAGCAGCAGGUUAAUACCCCGCUGUUCUGACGGUACCCAAAGAAUAAGCACCGGCUAACUUCGUG
Molecule: ribosomal RNA, 490 nt
Filed under: uncultured bacterium
Lineage: Bacteria
Description: partial 16S ribosomal RNA
Rfam family: Bacterial small subunit ribosomal RNA
Source: RNAcentral